Molecule: transfer RNA, 74 nt
Filed under: Natronoglycomyces albus
Lineage: Bacteria; Bacillati; Actinomycetota; Actinomycetes; Glycomycetales; Glycomycetaceae
Rfam family: tRNA
About the family: Transfer RNA (tRNA) molecules are approximately 80 nucleotides in length. Their secondary structure includes four short double-helical elements and three loops (D, anti-codon, and T loops).
Source: Rfam by way of RNAcentral
GGGACGUUAGCUCAGCUGGUUAGAGCACCUGACUCAUAAUCAGGCGGUCGUCGGUUCGAGCCCGACACGUCCCA